AGCAGACAUUAAUCCGAUACUCACUCACAACUGUAUAAUCACAGAUUGGGAUCCAUACGAUGAGGGGAAAACAUAGGAAGGCUUGAGAGACCUGACUGAAGCUGAAGAAGUUCUGCGAUGUGAACCAUGACCAGGAAUCCACCGGGAACCGAGUGAGCCAGGACAGAAUGUGCCGUGGUCCCGGGAUGGGACGAAGCACAGCACGUGUGAGCACCUGAAGGAAGACUGGUGUGUCCAGGGCACAGGAGGGGAGGAGGACAUGUCCCUCGAGUUUGGCCAGGGAUAUCUCCAUUGCCUACUGAAGAAAAAUCCUGCAAUGACUGACUUGCCACACCACGGCUAGCUGACACGUGUUUUCUCCAGGUGUAAGGUUGUGGCCAUACGACACUUGGGACAGCGUGGUUACACAAAGAAGAUAACAAAUUCAAUGAAGAAACUCAGA
Long non-coding RNA from Lemur catta (Ring-tailed lemur), 442 nucleotides. RefSeq lists it as uncharacterized. The record is from RefSeq and is a predicted model, not a curated record. The transcript is spliced from 3 exons. Lineage: Eukaryota; Metazoa; Chordata; Mammalia; Primates; Lemuridae.